Molecule: ribosomal RNA, 484 nt
Filed under: uncultured bacterium
Lineage: Bacteria
Description: partial 16S ribosomal RNA
Rfam family: Bacterial small subunit ribosomal RNA
Source: RNAcentral
AUUGAACGCUGGCGGCAGGCCUAACACAUGCAAGUCGAGCGGAUGAAGGGAGCUUGCUCCUGGAUUCAGCGGCGGACGGGUGAGUAAUGCCUAGGAAUCUGCCUGUUAGUGGGGGAUAACGUCCGGAAACGGGCGCUAAUACCGCAUACGUCCUGAGGGAGAAAGUGGGGGAUCUUCGGACCUCACGCUAUCAGAUGAGCCUAGGUCGGGUUAGCUAGUUGGUGGGGUAAAGGCCUACCAAGGCGACGAUCCGUAACUGGUCUGAGAGGAUGAUCAGUCACACUGGAACUGAGACACGGGCCAGACUCCUACGGGAGGCAGCAGUGGGGAAUCUUGGACAAUGGGCGAAAGCCUGAUCCAGCCAUGCCGCGUGUGUGAAGAAGGUCUUCGGAUUGUAAAGCACUUUAAGUUGGGAGGAAGGGCAGUAAGUUAAUACCUUGCUGUUUUGACGUUACCAACAGAAUAAGCACCGGCUAACUUCGUG